This 80-nucleotide transfer RNA is filed under the name Bryobacterales bacterium. RNAcentral's name for it is "tRNA-Val". The record is from RNAcentral. Lineage: Bacteria; Pseudomonadati; Acidobacteriota; Terriglobia; Bryobacterales.
GAGAUCGCUGGAAGACAUGGAAAUCAGGUGACUGCUUCACACGCAGGAUGUCCCCAGUUCGAGUCUGGGCGUGCUCACCA